Long non-coding RNA from Amaranthus tricolor (Joseph's coat), 6367 nucleotides. RefSeq lists it as uncharacterized. NCBI's taxonomy places the organism in Eukaryota, Viridiplantae, Streptophyta, Magnoliopsida, Caryophyllales, Amaranthaceae. The transcript has 6 exons. The record is from RefSeq and is a predicted model, not a curated record.
UCAGAAACCCAUUUUCCCCAAUUUCCAUUUCCCUUCCCGUCCCCUUCUCCUAAACCGACAUUCCCUUUCCCCACUUCCCUUCCUUCUCAUUCCGUCACUAUUCAUCAUCAUUUUCAAACCCUUCUUUGCAUCCUCAAGACCUUCAAAACCCAUGCUCUCAUCUCGCCGUCCCUUGUCUUUGAUUUUCGAAGAAAUUGGGUUCUUCUUCCUCUGAAUUUCGAAAGGCUGUGUGAAAUCAAAGUAGCAUCGAAAUCCUUUCUCCUUGUCUCUGAUUUCUUCCGAGUUAGGGGAGAAGGAGUGAGCUUCAAUCUUGUGAUUAAACAUCCAAUUCAAACCGUGAAUCAAGCAUUAAGUCCGUUUUCCUCCUUGUUUCUGGUAGCUGAACAGAAGGAAGCGACAUUAUCGAAGAGCCCUUCUAAUAAGCGCGGGGUAGCAGACUUGGCCUCUUGAAGCGUUCUUUUUGCUUGUCUACAGAUCGGAACCAGUCGGGAAUAAUGGAUUAGCGAAGGUGAAUAGAGUUUCCAAGGAUGUUAAUUGAGUUGAGUACUUAGGAAUUAUAGAUUUGUAUUAGGAAUUUUGGAUAAAUGUAAAUUUGUUUUGGCUGUGCUGGUUAUAUCGGACUUGUAGAGAAUUGUAUGAUUAUCUUGUGUUUUAGUUAGAUGUUGGUUUUGGGAUUUAGCUGAGUUAGUCACGUUGAAGAGCUUGUGAUUCCUUUGCUCGAGUUUUGGAAGUGUGAUUUCAGUUUCUUGGGAAACGAACCCAGCGAUAACCCUGUUUACCCAGUCAACGGUAAGUCGGGUUGUUACAGUUGGUAUCAGAGCCAAACCGCGACCGUGGCUAAUCCUUAGGGUUAGUUCAUCUAGCGGGCAUACAAUCUUGGGAGUAAGGAAAAACGUGAUUUGAAGAUUUAAAUGUUUAAGAUAAGAGAUAGGAACAGAAGUGAAUAUGAUUGUGGAAUUAACCUAGGUGUUUGAGUUAGUCUUGUUUUCUUAGAAGUGUAGGAUGUGAGGUGCGAGGAUUACGGGGUAAAACGGGAAAACGCUCUUAACGAUUGAUCGUGACGGCAAGAAGAUUCAGUUCGACGAUGCAUUGUUAGAAUUUGUUUUCUGAUGAUGCCAAUGUCUUGUUGCUUAUCAUAGUUCCUUGUCGAUUAUCGUUUUAGUAGCUAGAAUAGUAUGUCCUAAAAUUGCGAAUCGUGUCACGUUGCUGCUAGCCCUUUCCUAUCAGCUUUUGUUUGUUGAUCCAUGAUUAUGAUUAUAGAUUGGUAUAUAAAAGCGAGGUCAUCGGGUUGUGAAGUAUGUAUCGUUAGUGUUUUGUUGUAAGUGAGUUGAACUUUAAAAACGAUUGUGACAUAGUAGGAGAAUUAGUAAAGACAAAGUAUUGCACAUCAUUGAUGGAAAAGCUUAAGUUAAGAGCAAUUGAUAUUGAUUUUUUUAGCCUAGUGAUUGAGUUGCAUAUAGUGUUCAUAUUUUGAUGUAAGCGAUGAACUUUUAGUGUUAUUGGAUCUUGUCAUACGUUGUAAUCUAUUUGAAUAUUGGAGCCUAUAGAUUUAGUAGAGUUAUUAGAAAAUUGUGUGAUUAUCAUUAAGAAUGUACCAAGUUUCUUCUGUUGGUUAGAAGUGCAAAUAUAACUUAAGGAUGGAAGGUCACUGGCAAACUUGAGGUUUUGUUAAAGUACAAGAAGGUUGUAUCAACAUCAAGAAUAGAAGUAGGUUUUCAACAAAAGUUGUUAUAAAGGAUCUUGAGUCAUAGACUUAAGUUAUCAAAAUAGUGUGGUUUAUAUGUUCUAAAGAUGGCAUUUAAAGUUUAAGAUGUUGGGUUAUAAAGAUUAUAGGUUAUUUGAUUGAGACAGUAGUUGGUAAAAUUGUGAACACCUCAUAGAUGAUCUUAGUGGAUAUAUGUGAAAAUAGUCAAUACUUGAGUUGUUAUUAUUGAAGAGUUGUGCUUAGCAGUUAUGAUAAGAAUUUAUGUUUGAGUUAAAGCUUAUAAGGAUUAUGGUCUAGUUACUCAGUCGAUAAUUCAAUUGAGGAUAUUUAGAUGAAGAAUGCAAAUAAAUGUUUAAUUGAGGUUAUAAUAAACUAUACUUUGGCUUCUAUAUGGGACAAGUUACUUAUGAAUUUAUUAGGUUUUUAUUGGCAAGUGGUGCAUGAUAUCAACCUAGGUGAGGUAGUUUAUCGUCUUGCGUUACUAGCAUCUUUUGACCGAGUGCAUGACGUGUUUUGCGUAUCCCAGCUGAGACAAUACAUUAGAGAUGACUCACACGUUCUUCGACCGAACAGUUGACCCUGGAUAAUACCUUGCAGUACGAGGAGACCCCCGUUCAGAUCCUAGAUAGGAAGACGCGUGAUACUCGUUGAGGUAGUGUAGCGCUUGUGAAGGUGCUAUGGUCUUAUCAUGUUACCGAAGAAGCCAUGUGGGAGGCAGUAGAUGCCAUGAGACGCGAUUAUUCCUGGUUGUUUGCUUAGGCAUUUCUAUGUUUAUCGCUUUAUAGCUUUUGCAUCUCCUAGAGAGUUAAGUUCGAGGACGAACUUUAUUCUAAGUUGGGUAGGAUUUUUGGAUUCAGAAUAGUUUUAGUAAGUCUGGAUGGCUAACAUGGUUAGUCGCUAAAUGUAGAUUCUUAUAGGGCACAAGUAUGAGAACUUGAUCAACAUAGAUUUACGAUAUGUAUGUUAGCUGGAUAUUUGAGUAUAUGCUUAGUUCAACUUCGAGGACGAAGUUUUUCUUAAGUUGGGUAGAAUGUGACAUUCGGGAAAUUUAAAAUAAAUAAAAUCAUUUUGGGCUUUAAACUAAUUAGAAAAUUAUCAUGAAUCAAGUGGGUUAAGUAAUAAUAAUAAUAAUAAUAACUAUAAUGAUGACAUAAAAAAAAUAAAUAAAAAUAAAAAAAAUAAAAACUAACUAAAAUUAAUACCCAAAAAUCAGAAACUCAUUUUCCCCAAUUUCCAUUUCCCUUCCCGUCCCCUUCUCCUAAACCGACAUUCCCUUUCCCCACUUCCCUUCCUUCUCAUUCCGUCACUAUUCAUCAUCAUUUUCAAACCCUUCUUUGCAUCCUCAAGACCUUCAAAACCCAUGCUCUCAUCUCGCCGUCCCUUGUCUUUGAUUUUCGAAGAAAUUGGGUUCUUCUUCCUCUGAAUUUCGAAAGGCUGUGUGAAAUCAAAGUAGCAUCGAAAUCCUUUCUCCUUGUCUCUGAUUUCUGCCGAGUUAGGGGAGAAGGAGUGAGCUUCAAUCUUGUGAUUAAACAUCCAAUUCAAACCGUGAAUCAAGCAUUAAGUCCGUUUUCCUCCUUGUUUCUGGUAGCUGAACAGAAGGAAGCGACAUUAUCAAAGAGCCCUUCUAAUAAGCGCGGGGUAGCAGACUUGGCCUCUUGAAGUGUUCUUUUUGCUUGUCUACAGAUCGGAACCAGUCGGGAAUAAUGGAUUAGCGAAGGUGAAUAGAGUUUCCAAGGAUGUUAAUUGAGUUGAGUACUUAGGAAUUAUAGAUUUGUAUUAGGAAUUUUGGAUAAAUGUAAAUUUGUUUUGGCUGUGCUGGUUAUAUCGGAUUUGUAGAGAAUUGUAUGAUUAUCUUGUGUUUUAGUUAGAUGUUGGUUUUGGGAUUUAGCUGAGUUAGUCACGUUGAAGAGCUUGUGAUUCCUUUGCUCGAGUUUUGGAAGUGUGAUUUCAGUUUCUUGGGAAACGAACCCAGUGAUAACCAUGUUUAGCCAGUCAACGGUAAGUCGGGUUAUUACAAGCAGUGCCCUCAAGACCCUCUACAGUAGGAGGAAUAAUAGGAUCUAUCCAGCGUAAAUGUAUCCAACCGUUGGGCUUCAUAACCCAAUCCUUGGGAGGUUGAUGGGGUAAAGCCUCUAGAUGUGUGUAUAAUGGGAACUCGACAACUGGCUCCUCGGUAAGUUCUCUCCUGAAAUCAUGUUUGAUUUCGUUCAGGGUAGUUUUAGCAGCAACCAUUGUGAAAAUGAGAAGAAAGAAAAUUUAAACAGAAUUAUGGUUUGAGAGGAAUUAAUCGCAGAGGAAAAAUAUUCCGGGAAUGUUUGAGAGUAAAUGAAGAUUCAAAAAACGUAAGGGAGGUGAAAAUGCAUGUCUCAGAAUAUAUAUAGCUAGAUAUUCAUUGGAAAAAAUUAAAUGGUAAAAAGAUCAAUAGAUCAAGAGAUAUUAUAAUUGGAAGUGGAAAGAUCAAUCGUUGAGAUAAAACCGCCAAAUUUUGAAAUUAGUAGGAGUAGGGAACAGUGAUUGGAUGGGCAUUUAAUGUUAGUACAACCAAGUUGAGAUAAUGAUGAAAGGGUACUGUGGCAAGUAAAGUGUGUCCAACAAGUUUCGCCAAAAAGGUAAUACCCAGAAAAGCCGAUAAAAAGAAUUUUAAACAAUUUCCAGAAAAAGGAUUAUACAUGUUGCCAGAAACAUAUGUUCCCAGAAAGCAUAUGUUGCCAGAAACAUGAGUUGCCAGAAGUUGAAAAUUUUUGACAUAAUUUUAUGGGUUUUAUCCAAAUGUCCCAGAAGGUUAAUUUUAGUAAAAACCUAUAUAUAAUGCUGAAGGCGAAAGAAUAAUUAGGGAAGAUUUACUUGGAGAUUAUAAGAAUUAUUAACGAGUAAAGUCAUGUUGCUAAAAAUCGAUUUUGAAGACAGACCCACAAAUUCUUAAGGAAGAAUUUAUAGGUCUGAAGGGGCAAAUUGUGUGUGUAAAAUAUUAAUUUGAAGGUUAUUAUGAUAAAAAGACAGUCAAAAGAUAUCAAACCUACCUGAAUCUGGAAAAAUUUUGUGUUAAUAAGUAGUUAUUUGGGAAUAAUUAUCUGGCAAGGUUAUUAAAGGAUUUUGUAUACAGGCUUAGAAGGUUAGUGCAUGAGAAGCUCACGUGCAUGUGAGGACACAUGUCCUUCAUUAAAGCAUCACUUUUAUGAAAUGGGACACGCGUUCAAAGGAGAAAUUAGAAACGCCACUAAGGACAAAUAAAGUAUUUGAUUGCGAUUAAGGGAUUGACACAUCUAAAAAGGAAAGUGGCGCAUGCAGAGAAUGUCUUUAGGGGUCGGAAAAGGAAUGUUUGUUCCACAAUCAUCAGCUAUAAAUACUCACCAAAGCGCCAUAAAUGAGGUAACUAAUUUUUUAGAGAGAAAGAAAAGAAAAAAAGAAUCCAAAGUGAUUAAAUACAAACGAUCUUAACUGAAUAUUAGAAUUUCACAUUGAUUUUCAGAGCAACGGAACAAAGAUUUACAAAAGAUUUAAUCGACAUUUGUCGCGAUAAUUUAUUACAAAAGGACCUCACGUCUAAACAAGCCCUAACCAGCUAUCCACCUGGUUGCCACUGUGUACCUUGAAGGACCUGUUAGGCAAUCCAUAUAUUGAUCUGUACUAACUUGGGUGUCGGAGUAGGCCCCCCGAAAAGAAUUCAGGGCCUUUCUAACUCCUUUUGUGUGUUUUGUAGGAAUCAUCAGCGUCUCCAUCCAAAGAUCUUACUGUAUAACUGGUAAGGAAUUAAAUUAAGACUUCCACCAGCAAAAAUCAUCUGAUUAACAACUAAUCAGGAGAUUAAAAUCUUAAUUAAUUGUUCUUUAAAAUCAGACAGGAACACCUCAUGACAUGAAGUUCGUGUUUAGAAAUCGAAAUAUAGUUCCACGGUCGAAACUAUAUAAGUCAGUCCUAGAGUCUGUCCAAAACUAGUUUGUUUUAGGGUCUCAUAAAUGUUCAAGACAACCUGUAACUUGAUACCAUCCUUUGAUGAGUGAAGAAUGUUUGGGCAUUAGUUUACAAUGUCAAUUGUAAUUUAGUGCCGUAUAGCAAUCGAUUUUCUUUGUCAAAGGCUUAAUUGUUUAUUAUUGAAACUUGUUGCCUGUUGGUUUUAACAUUACAUAACUCCGCCCGUAGUAGAAUAUGAUACCCCAGAGAAACUUCUGCUAAAUAAUGAAAGUGCGUUCUUUAAGAUGGUUUAAAGUACUGGAGUUGCAAAUUCUCAGUAUUUGCGUAGCCUUUUACGUGGAAAUGAAGGGGAAAAUAGAUCAACUGCAGAUGAUGAUAGACUAGCUAGAUGGGCAAAGAACAUGGCUGGCAUUUUCCCGAUGGGCUGCUGCAGCUUAGUUUGUGAUUUCAGUGAGCUUAACAUCAUCACAGAAUGACCUUCAGCGAUGUGAAAUUGAAGAUGAGGAUAAUAUUUUGAAGAAGACCAAAGAUAAGUGGUGGUCUUCUCUAUAUAAAGUGGUUGAAGGAGUAUACUGCAAGAUAAAACACAUAUAGCCAAGAUGAAAUAGAUGAGGUUCGUGAGCAAUGGGCAAAGUUCUUUAGAUCGAACAUUUUGUUAAACUAAAUGUAAUUUUGUACAAACAAUACUAGUACUACUAUAAAUUCGAUCGUAUGUGAUCAUAUAUAUAAGUGUAGUAGUGGAUGUUAUAU